RNAcentral lists this unclassified non-coding RNA (226 nucleotides) under Hevea brasiliensis (rubber tree). Lineage: Eukaryota; Viridiplantae; Streptophyta; Magnoliopsida; Malpighiales; Euphorbiaceae. The record is from RNAcentral.
GAGGUAAAGGACCUUUUGAGGUGAAAAAGGAAAUGAUUUUGCAUAUCGAAUGGGAUCCUGAUAAGGGAUUGAUUAGCUUCUCAAUUCAAAAAAUGCUCCAGGCUCCAAUGAUGCAGGAAUUGAACUAAAUUUAGUUUCUGAAUGCCCAAUAAUCGUCCUUUCGGUAUUAACAAAUGUACAAUCUAAAGUCGGAAGCAAAAGUAUUUAACUCACAUAUUGCAAGUUC